GAUGAACGCUGGCGGCGUGCCUAAUACAUGCAAGUCGAGCGAACGGACGAGAAGCUUGCUUCUCUGAUGUUAGCGGCGGACGGGUGAGUAACACGUGGAUAACCUACCUAUAAGACUGGGGUAACUUCGGGAAACCGUAGCUAAUACCGGAUAAUAUUUUGAACCGCAUGGUUCAAAAGUGAAAGACGGUCUUGCUGUCACUUAUAGAUGGAUCCGCGCUGCAUUAGCUAGUUGGUAAGGUAACGGCUUACCAAGGCAACGAUGCAUAGCCGACCUGAGAGGGUGAUCGGCCACACUGGAACUGAGACACGGUCCAGACUCCUACGGGAGGCAGCAGUAGGGAAUCUUCCGCAAUGGGCGAAAGCCUGACGGAGCAACGCCGCGUGAGUGAUGAAGGUCUUCGGACCGUAAAACUCUGUUAUUAGGGAAGAACAUAUGUGUAAGUAACUGUGCACAUCUUGACGGUACCUAAUCAGAAAGCCACGGCUAACUACGUG
This 497-nucleotide ribosomal RNA is filed under the name uncultured bacterium. Its description in RNAcentral is "partial 16S ribosomal RNA". It matches the Rfam family "Bacterial small subunit ribosomal RNA", at positions 28 to 507 of the family's 1533-position model. The record is from RNAcentral.